Molecule: ribosomal RNA, 253 nt
Filed under: uncultured bacterium
Lineage: Bacteria
Description: partial 16S ribosomal RNA
Rfam family: Bacterial small subunit ribosomal RNA
Source: RNAcentral
UACGAAGGGGGCUAGCGUUGCUCGGAAUCACUGGGCGUAAAGGGCGCGUAGGCGGCCAUUCAAGUCAGAGGUGAAAGCCCAAGGCUCAACCUUGGAACUGCCUUUGAUACUGUUUGGCUUGAGACCGGUAGAGGUAAGUGGAACUGCGAGCGUAGAGGUGAAAUUCGUAGAUAUUCGGAGGAACACCAGUGGCGAAGGCGGCUCACUGGUCCAUUACUGACGCUGAGGUGCGAAAGCGUGGGGAGCAAACAGG